Oryza sativa Japonica Group (Japanese rice) is the source of this 698-nucleotide long non-coding RNA. RefSeq lists it as uncharacterized. NCBI's taxonomy places the organism in Eukaryota, Viridiplantae, Streptophyta, Magnoliopsida, Poales, Poaceae. The record is from RefSeq and is a predicted model, not a curated record.
AUGCAGGUUCCAUGACCUAUUCGAUACUAGUCCUACACAAACAUAACACGCCAUGUCACCGAAGGUCAUAGCCAUUUGCCUUGUAGCACUUCUCCUUCCCAUCAGCAUAAGCCAUGGUGGUAGAAUUGGGCCAAUUGAACCCAGCAAAGCUUCCAGUAAGGUUGUGGAGAGGGGAAACUACGAUGGUAGAGUGGAAGGUUGCGAAGAAGAUGAUUGCCUAGUGGAGCGUUUGCUCGUGGCUCAUCUGGACUACAUCUACACGCAGGGCAAACACAAUUAGAAGCAGAGGAGUAGAUGCACGUUUGCAAUGAGCAAUCCAUGCAAGAAUAAACCGCCGAGCAGAAAAAAGAAAGCGAGCAAGCUUGACGUUAGAUGAUAAUGUGUGUACAACCUAUAUAUCAUGGGAAAAUAGAGCCGCUGGAUAUCAGGAAGACAGGAAGGAGCCUGAUAUCAAUAAUUAUGAAGAAAUAUGAGCACACUCCGGAAAUGGAAUCAAGUGCGAGAAGGCGUCCAGCUAAGCUAAUAACUGAGCUAGGCGCAGUUCUCUGAGCUACCCAUUGUGUUUUUUUCUAGAGUGGAGAAAGUAUAUAUAAAGUUUGUAUGAAGUUUAAGUGUUUGUAUGUAUGUAUGAAGUUUGUAAAGGUAAUUAUGAACUUAUGUUGUUCGAAACUUGUAACAUUGCUGGUUUUACGCUCACA